Molecule: non-coding RNA, 134 nt
Organism: Triticum aestivum (bread wheat)
Lineage: Eukaryota; Viridiplantae; Streptophyta; Magnoliopsida; Poales; Poaceae
Source: Rfam
AAUGUACUCCCUCCGUUCGAAAAUUCUUGUCUUAAAUUUGUCUAAAUACGGAUGUAUCAAGUCACGUUUUAGUAUUAGAUACAUCCGUAUUAGACGAAUCUAAGACAAGAAUUUUGGGACGGAGGGAGUACCUA